RNAcentral lists this ribosomal RNA (496 nucleotides) under uncultured bacterium. RNAcentral's name for it is "partial 16S ribosomal RNA". It matches the Rfam family "Bacterial small subunit ribosomal RNA", at positions 29 to 507 of the family's 1533-position model. The record is from RNAcentral.
AUGAACGCUGGCGGCGUGCCUAAUACAUGCCAGUCGAGCGAACGGACGAGAAGCUUGCUUCUCUGAUGUUAGCGGCGGACGGGUGAGUAACACGUGGAUAACCUACCUAUAAGACUGGGAUAACUUCGGGAAACCGGAGCUAGUACCGGAUGAUAUUUUGAACCGCAUGGUUCAAAAGUGAAAGACGGUCUUGCUGUCACUUAUAGAUGGAUCCGCGCUGCAUUAGCUAGUUGGUAAGGUAACGGCUUACCAAGGCAACGAUGCAUAGCCGACCUGAGAGGGUGAUCGGCCACACUGGAACUGAGACACGGUCCAGACUCCUACGGGAGGCAGCAGUAGGGAAUCUUCCGCAAUGGGCGAAAGCCUGACGGAGCAACGCCGCGUGAGUGAUGAAGGUCUUCGGAUCGUAAAACUCUGUUAUUAGGGAAGAACAUAUGUGUAAGUAACUGUGCACAUCUUGACGGUACCUAAUCAGAAAGCCACGGCUAACUACGUG